RNAcentral lists this long non-coding RNA (4126 nucleotides) under Triticum aestivum (bread wheat). Its description in RNAcentral is "long non-coding RNA (TAES_LNC002282)". The record is from RNAcentral. Lineage: Eukaryota; Viridiplantae; Streptophyta; Magnoliopsida; Poales; Poaceae.
AAUACUACAAAUAACAAUAGCUAGAAUCAGUAUGGAGCUCUUGCUCUACCAAUAACACGUAAUACAAUUGGAAUCACAAUAUUACAAGCUCUACAAGUGUGAUAGCUGGCUACAGUAAUUUAGAACUCCACAAUUGUCUUCAAUCUUCUUCAGAAUGGAGCUCCUGUCAAUAGCGAUCACAAACUGGGAACAUGCUCCUGUCAUAUGAACCAUAUGCCAUACUCACUAGACAACCAUAGUCAGGAUUAGGCUGUGACCUUCAUUACAAACAGCAAUAUGAACUUCCAUCCCUUCCACGGUCACCCUGUCAAGGAUUGGUGUUGACUCGCAUUAAAAAGAUAUAAAAAAGAUUCCAUACGGACUAGCAUUCUAGAAACUAACUAGCAAGGAUCACAUAUAUUGUUGUAAAGGCAUUCCAUACUAUUAAGAUGGACCAAAUUCAUGCAGAUACAACAUGUCUCACUAGUUCAAAGCGGAGCCACAGGAAGCUUACCAUUGCGCAAUGGAUUUACCAACAAAAGGGCCAGGUAGAUGGCAAGACCAACACAUAUUAUCCAUCCCUGGGUCCUCUAGCUUCCAACGUGUUGCCUCCUCCUUGCCCUUCCUUCAAGAAAAAUAACUUCCUUCAAGAAAAACAACACAUGGUCAGUGCUGCCCUAAUAUAGCAAUCAAGAGUGCUCUAACUUUUCACAUGGUUAGCUUCUAUUUAUCUGGACAUUUGGAUCAACAUACAUCCAAAACUAGCUAAAUAUGAGCACAAGCUUGACUCGUGUGACCAACAAUUUAUUGAUGAAAAUCAUUAAUCAGGAACUAAAUAUUACAUUUUGACAAUCAACAAAUGUUUGGUAAAAUGACAACUUCAGAAGAAAAUGGGCACUCAAGCUAGUUCAGUUUUAGAAAUGUACCCCGUUCAUGAGACCAGCAGCAAAGAACGCAACGAAGCACUUGAGAUAGCCUCGGUUCACCAAGGGCUGGAGAACUUGGCGGGCAACACCAACAGUGAGUCUUCGCUCCAUUCGUGCUUGCAGAGGUACGCCUGGCCAAGGGAGUAGUCCAGCGCUCGUUCCACGGGGACUGCCACCGCACUGCCGGACUCGCAUAUACCUGCCAACAUCACGAUACUGUAAGAUAAUUAUAAUCAGGAAAAAUCAAAUUGAUUCAAGCAUAUUACUUGCUGGGGGUACCAUAAAACAUCAUUAUGUGGCUACAAUUUUUUGCUUUCUAUAUACCAUUUUCAUCAAUCUCAGAUUUAACAAAGCAAGAACUACAAAUGCAACGUAGCCUCAAAUUUAACAGAGCAAGAACUACAAAUGCAACAUAGCCUCAAGAACUAAGUUUGACAUGUCAUUUUAAAGAUGUGUUGACCUUUAUUUAUUUCUAUUCUUGGAUGAGAAGGUUAGAGCAAAGUUAGCUUUCUUGUCUGCGUAAGGAUGAGAAAUAAUAACUGUAGUGUUGCAACAUAAGGACAGUACAGAUUCCAUAAUAAGUUUCAGGAACAUCACAUCUAGCACAGUUGCAGAGAUGGCACAAAAUUCUUCUAUGCAAUGUUCAACAUAUUUGUAAUAAUUUUCAUAAGCAAUGAAUCAUGCCAAACAAAUUAUGAGUUAUGAAGUGGUUUCAAACUAUAACAGUGAAGGACUAGACCCGCAAAAGACAAUGAUGUAUAGGCACUAAAUGUACAGCAAGUAAUAAGAACAGAGACCAUAAAUGAUACUAAUCAAGGAUAAAAACAGGUAGGUAUCAUAUAAUUCUCAUCACAAUCAUACAGUGAAUUCAUUAAAGGCUAUAGAUAUAGAAGUAUCAUGCAACCAAAAGGGUUAAGACCAUACACAAGGAUCAGUGUUAGCAGAAUUGAGAUAUAUUUGUACAGGGUAAUGAAAGGUGCCAAUCCAGUGCAAGAUAAUAGAGCAAAUAUGUCAAAGUUAUUUAGAUUUGCUAAUGUGUUUGUCACACUACCAAAAUUCAAGAUAAACCAUGACAGGGAAACGAGUGAAUUACAGCAAAGGAGGCAUCUAAUUUGACUACCAGUACCACAAUCAUUGAGUGAAAGCAAACACCAGAGAAUUCAGAAAUUUUUUGAACUGAAUGCAAGCAAGUUUGAUCAUGACAUAGCAAGUCUGUAGUCCGUAAUUAGAUUAGAUGUUCUAACUCAUGAUCCACAUACAUAGAGACCUACUGGAAUCUGCUUACACUUAAACUAGAAAGGGAACAAAAAAACUGAACCUAACUAUGCAGCAGAGAGAGAUAGCAUGGGGGGACGACCUAUGGACCAAAUUGUCCUUCACCAGAUCAUUCAAGGGAGCACAACAGCAGUAGCAGACCUUGCAUGUUCCUUCACACAACCAGAUCGGAGCAACCUACAAAGGAACGCAUGAAUUAUAUGGGGAGAUGGAGAAGAAGAUGAUAAGAGAAGUGGAGGAGCAAGUGACAAACCUGAGAUGGUGUUGCUCCUCCUAGGUCGCCAUGGACAAUCUGAUCCCCACAUAAUCUUUCUCUCCCUUCCUUCACAAAACCAGAUUAGCUCUCUUCACGAACCUGGAAAAAAAGCAACCAUAUGCAAGAUACGUUAAGUGUACCUGAAAUGUCUAUAGAGUAUGGAGUGAAUAAAAGAUAGUCUUAUCGGAUUCAUCAAAUGCAAUGGUUUGAAUGGCCCUUGAGGAUGCCACCUACUUAUUCCAUAGGCACUAUCAUCAUCAGUAACCAAUCAUAUGCAAAGGAAACACUUAUCGCGCCCUUCGCUUUGAGCAUCUUAACAUGCAGACUAUGCUAAGUGAUGCACUGGUAGGGUGAAACCAAAGAGCAAAAGCCUUAGACAGAAUCCAUUAAUUGCCACAGAGAUGCAUUCGCAACUACAGCCCAAUCUUAUAGGAUUAUAACGUGAACAUGAAGUAGCCAAUACUUAUUAGAACCAAGAAUUGCAUGACACAUAGCACCACAAAGUAUGUACAGAAACCCCACAACUUGCUCACAAGUUGCAACACAGCUAAUAAGUACUAGAAAGCACACUUAUAGCCAAUAAGAUCAGUUCUUCCUGAUUUGAUUAAAUACUAAGAAAAUUAGUACAAGUGUGAUCUGGUCGGUGUUUCUGGGCUCAUAUGAUAUGAUGAGUUGACUGGCAGACACCUAGAAUACUGUUAGGUGGGAUUCCAAAUUAAAAUGUUAUACUAUUCACUACUUGGUAGGACUUGUAAUCACAUCAAGUAUAUCCCAGAUGAUGUAAAUGGAAACUCUGAAUCGACUAACGAGUUGCAGCGCUGCUAUGUAAUAAAAAGCACAAAGAUGAACCCGCAGAUCUAGCCCAAUUAUUCUUUGCGCAUCAAACACUGAUGCAUCACUCAAAGUAGGAUCGCAGUGUUUGUUCCACGGUGGCUGAUAACUGAAUGGCCGAGAUCGACCGCCACCAUUGAGCAGUUGGGAGUGUGGCUGCUGCGCCAUCUGAUCGAUCGAUUGCAAUGGGGCCGCCAGUCCAAUCGUGAGGGCACAUGGAAGAGGAAUCAGAAGAGGCGAUUAGGACCAAGCAAUAUACAGAGGGGGCGGGAUUGGGGGGCCCGCGUGCGCGAUACCUUGGAGGUACUACUGCUGCUGGCGCUGGGGCGGCUGGUCGUCCUUGGCGGCCGCCUUCUUGCUGGCCUUGGAGGGCUUGUCGGGGUCGUCGUUGUCUCCUCACGCAUGGGCGCGCCGACCGUCAUGGUUCCGGCGACCUUCGACGGAGAGGAGGGCGUCGGCGUCCUUGGAGAGGAAGCAGAGGAGGCCGAGGGAGCGGAGACGAGCACGAACUAGUUGCUGGAGUUGCAAAUGGUGAAGACGGGUGUGCCAGUGAGCGUGCGCGCGACCUCAUCGAGCCCGAGCAUGAGAGACUGGGCGGUGCUAUGGGGCCUCGGCAGGCGCGACGCGUCGAGCGCGGGGCACGGGGCGGCAAAGCGAGAGGGGAGGUUGGAGAGGUGGUGCUUGAGGAAGGAGGAGGCAGCGGCGAGGGGGUUGGGAGGCAGGGAGGGUCGGGGGAGGCCCAGCGGCGAGCUAUGGUGGGGGCGACGGCAGCUGCGGGAAUGGAUCUGAAUCGGGGAGAAGGGGGCGGGGGCGACGGCGGCAGCGGGAAUGGAUCUGAAUCGGGGAAAGUGGAGAGAGG